This 88-nucleotide non-coding RNA is filed under the name unclassified sequences. The record is from RNAcentral.
UCUACAUCGCCACCGGGUGAAAAUGUUAAAAGCAUUUGUCCGUACAUCGUUAGGUCUUUGAAGAUGUACCGACAAGUGCUUUUCUUUU